AUGUGAAGCGCCUUCGACGAGUCGAGUUGUKUGGGAAUGCAGCUCAAAAUGGGUGGUUAAAUUUCAUCUAAAGCUAAAUAUUGGCCAGAGACCGAUAGCGCACAAGUAGAGUGAUCGAAAGAUGAAAAGCACUUUGGAAAGAGAGUUAAAAAGCAUGUGAAAUUGUUGAAAGGGAAGCGCUUGCAACCAGACUUGCCCCCGGGUGCUCAACCGGCGUUUUCGCCGGUGCACUCGCCCGGGGUCAGGCCAGCAUCGGUUCCGGCGGCCGGAGAAAGACCCUUGGAAUGUAGCUCCCCUCGGGGAGUGUUAUAGCCAGGGGUGUAAUGCGGCCUGCCGGGACCGAGGAACGCGCUUCGGCUCGGAUGCUGGCGUAAUGGUUGUAAGCGACCCGUCUUGAAACACGGACCAAGGAGUCUAACAUCUAUGCGAGUGUUUGGGUGUCAAACCCAUACGCGGAAUGAAAGUGAACGGAGGUGGGAGCCCUCGGGCGCACCAUCGACCGAUCCUGAUGUCUUCGGAUGGAUUUGAGUAAGAGCAUAGCUGUUGGGACCCGAAAGAUGGUGAACUAUGCCUGAAUAGGGUGAAGCCAGAGGAAACUCUGGUGGAGGCUCGCAGCGGUUCUGACGUGCAAAUCGAUCGUCAAAUUUGGGUAUAGGGGCGAAAGACUAAUCGAACCAUUCGGACUA
This 686-nucleotide ribosomal RNA is filed under the name Mycocalicium hyaloparvicellulum. RNAcentral's name for it is "eukaryotic LSU rRNA". It matches the Rfam family "Eukaryotic large subunit ribosomal RNA", at positions 244 to 949 of the family's 3401-position model. The record is from RNAcentral. Lineage: Eukaryota; Fungi; Ascomycota; Eurotiomycetes; Mycocaliciales; Mycocaliciaceae.